Molecule: small RNA, 92 nt
Filed under: Chryseobacterium sp. FH1
Lineage: Bacteria; Pseudomonadati; Bacteroidota; Flavobacteriia; Flavobacteriales; Weeksellaceae
Description: Flavo-1 RNA
Rfam family: Flavo-1 RNA
Source: Rfam by way of RNAcentral
UCCUAGCCCCGAUGGAAACGGCAUCCUUUUUUUUGCGUGGGCUUGAAAAAUAGCGUUGGCGAAAAAAGAUACAGUGGACAGCGGGAAAUUGC